RNAcentral lists this ribosomal RNA (253 nucleotides) under uncultured bacterium. RNAcentral's name for it is "partial 16S ribosomal RNA". It matches the Rfam family "Bacterial small subunit ribosomal RNA", at positions 524 to 776 of the family's 1533-position model. The record is from RNAcentral.
UACGUAGAGGGCGAGCGUUGUCCGGAGUUACUGGGCGUAAAGGGCAUGCAGGCGGUCGGACGCGUUUUGUGUGACAGCGGGUGGCUCAACUACGCGAGCAUACGAAAGACGGUUUGACUUGAGGGCUCGAGAGGGACACGGAAUUCCGGGUGGAGUGGUGAAAUGCGUAGAGAUCCGGAGGAACACCGAAGGCGAAGGCAGUGUCCUGGCGAGUGACUGACGCUGAGGUGCGAAAGCCAGGGGAGCGAACGGG